UGAGGCGGCCAGAGCGGUGAGGAUACACCCGUACCCAUCCCGAACACGGAAGUUAAGCUCACCUGCGUAUGAGGUAGUACUGGAGUGCGCGAGCCUCUGGGAACACUGAUUCGCCGCCUCGC
Molecule: ribosomal RNA, 122 nt
Organism: Halarchaeum acidiphilum MH1-52-1
Lineage: Archaea; Methanobacteriati; Methanobacteriota; Halobacteria; Halobacteriales; Halobacteriaceae
Source: Rfam